Molecule: ribosomal RNA, 253 nt
Filed under: uncultured bacterium
Lineage: Bacteria
Description: partial 16S ribosomal RNA
Rfam family: Bacterial small subunit ribosomal RNA
Source: RNAcentral
UACGGAGGGUGCAAGCGUUAAUCGGAAUUACUGGGCGUAAAGGGUGCGUAGGUGGUUGGAUAAGUUAUCUGUGAAAUCCCCGGGCUUAACCUGGGAAGGUCAGAUAAAACUGUUUGACUCGAGUAUAGGAGAGGGUAGUGGAAUUUCCGGUGUAGCGGUGAAAUGCGUAGAGAUCGGGAGGAACAUCAGUGGCGAAGGCGGCCAUCUGGGACAACACUGACGCUGAAGCACGAAAGCUUGGGAAGCAAACAGG